RNAcentral lists this ribosomal RNA (407 nucleotides) under uncultured bacterium. RNAcentral describes it as "bacterial SSU rRNA". It matches the Rfam family "Bacterial small subunit ribosomal RNA", at positions 355 to 776 of the family's 1533-position model. The record is from RNAcentral.
UGGGGAAUAUUGCGCAAUGGGGGCAACCCUGACGCAGCAACGCCGCGUGAAGGAUGACGGCCUUCGGGUUGUAAACUUCUGUCGCAGAGGAAGAAGAAAGUGACGGUACUCUGUGAGAAAGCCACGGCUAACUACGUGCCAGCAGCCGCGGUAAUACGUAGGUGGCAAGCGUUGUCCGGAUUUACUGGGUGUAAAGGGCGCGUAGGCGGAUCUGCAAGUCAGAUGUGAAAUACCGGAGCUUAACUCCGGAGCUGCAUUUGAAACUGUAGACCUUGAGUGCCGGAGAGGAAAGCGGAAUUCCUAGUGUAGCGGUGAAAUGCGUAGAUAUUAGGAGGAACACCAGUGGCGAAGGCGGCUUUCUGGACGGUAACUGACGCUGAGGCGCGAAAGUGUGGGUAGCAAACAGG